GACGAACGCUGGCGGCGCGCUUAACACAUGCAAGUCGAACGGAAAGGCCUGCUUUCCCUUGUGGAUUGCGGGUACUCGAGUGGCGAACGGGUGAGUAACACGUGAGUGAUCUGCCCCCAACUUGGGUAUAAGCCUGGGAAACUGGGUCUAAUUCCCGAUAGGACUGCAGGGUGGUGCCUGUGGUGGAAACCGAUUUUCUAGUGGUUGGGGAUGAGCUCGCGGCCUAUCAGCUUGUUGGUGGGGUAAUGGCCUACCAAGGCGGGGACGGGGAGCCGGGCAGGGGGGGUCGGCGUGCAAGGGUGGACGGAGAUACGGGCCCUGCGACUAGGGGAAGAAGCAGUCGGGAGGAAGGAACGAGGGGCGGAGGCCUAUGGGAGCGAGCCCGAGGGAGGGAUGACGGCCUUCGGGUUGUGGACUCCUUGCGGCCGCGAGGAAGCCACCUGGUUGGAGGGGUGGUGACGGUAGUGGUAGAAGAAGCACCGGCUAACUACGUG
RNAcentral lists this ribosomal RNA (494 nucleotides) under uncultured bacterium. Its description in RNAcentral is "partial 16S ribosomal RNA". It matches the Rfam family "Bacterial small subunit ribosomal RNA", at positions 28 to 507 of the family's 1533-position model. The record is from RNAcentral.